AUGACUUUAUCAUCAUUCCCUGAUUCCAUGAGCCCGGAAGAUCCUUAUUUUGCAGUUAUUCAGGCACGAACUUUUGUUUCAGACAGUUCGGGACUCAUUGGGACAUCCAGUCCGACCCUCAAAUGCUUACUACCUCAGCAGCCUCCUCCAUUGCCAGCAAAGCCGGUCGCUUUUCGCCAGACAUCUGGACCAGUCGUAGUCGCUUCGCCAACAAGUGACACAUCCCCCGAAGAAAACGACGAGCAGGACGACGUCGUAUCCGUGAUUCAAGCACACACCGAUUCCAAACCAUCCCCACUGGACACCAGCCGCUCCGAUGCAAAUCUCAUCAACAGUCUUGCGCAGUCAGUUGUUACAUCCUCAAAUCCAGAAAAUGGCAACUCCAUAGCUAACAUCAUCGAAAGAUUCAAUCAAACCACAAAAACGUCAAAUUUGUCUGCACCAGGAUCUCCAGCAACGGUCGCCAGGGGUAUAAACUACGGCCAGCCACCUAAGUUACCGCCUAGAAAUAACAUUUCAACCCUGGGGAACACCACUGUUGUCAACUCCGUCACAUCUAGCAGCAAUCUGUUCGCCAAUUCUCCCAGCAAUUACCUUAAAGAUAAAAAUAUCUUGAGUAGUGCUAAUAACUUGCACACCACUAACGGAAACAGCUCGUCGAUUAAUGAACUACCAGAGCGGAACGGACUGAGUAAUGGGACAAAAUCGGGUAGAGAAAACAACCCCUUCUUGUGUGAUCCGAAACCCCCGCCAAUUGCUGCACGUAACAUAUUGUCGGAAGGCAGCUCCGACAUUCUUCAAAACAAUGUAUUCUCAAACUCAAUUUUCCAGCGAGAGAACAACAUAUCGGGAGGAGCAACAUCGAACGGAGCACGCUUGUUCAGCUACUCGCCGGCUAUUAGCUCGGCUGCUGACACUGCGACAAACCACGAUGCCUCGUAUAGUUACACGAACGUGUUCGCUAAAACGAAUCCUUUCCAAACGGAGAACAUGCUGCGGAUUAAUGUAACAUCGUCACUGGAUAUUUCUAGUGGGAACUUGCCAACGAGACUGAGUUCGCAGCAUUCACCGAUCUCACCUGGUCAAAGAGACGUAGAAACACCAAGUUCAUCCACAGGGACGGAAGAGGACUCGAGAAGAGAACGAGGCGUAGAUGCUGAUCAAGAGAGCAGCGAAGAAGAUCUCAAAUGA
Molecule: long non-coding RNA, 1191 nt
Filed under: Bemisia tabaci
Lineage: Eukaryota; Metazoa; Arthropoda; Insecta; Hemiptera; Aleyrodidae
Description: lncRNA ENSSSA1NGG000117
Source: RNAcentral